This 46-nucleotide non-coding RNA is filed under the name Trichobilharzia regenti. Lineage: Eukaryota; Metazoa; Platyhelminthes; Trematoda; Strigeidida; Schistosomatidae. The record is from RNAcentral.
GUACUGCUGAAGAGUCCCACACUAGGACGAGACAGCUGUCUAGUAC